Molecule: non-coding RNA, 900 nt
Filed under: Cirrhitichthys sp. CBM:ZF:16421
Lineage: Eukaryota; Metazoa; Chordata; Actinopteri; Centrarchiformes; Cirrhitidae
Description: partial 12S rRNA
Rfam family: Bacterial small subunit ribosomal RNA
Source: RNAcentral
GCCCCAGUGAAAAUGCCCUACAGUCCCCCGCCAGGGGACAAGGAGCUGGUAUCAGGCACAUUCUUUAGCCCACGACACCUUGCUUAGCCACACCCCCAAGGGAAUUCAGCAGUGAUAGACAUUAAGCCAUAAGUGAAAACUUGACCUAGUUACAGAUAAGAGGGCCGGUAAAACUCGUGCCAGCCACCGCGGUUAUACGGGUUAGCCCAAGUUGACAGCCCACGGCGUAAAGCGUGGUUAGGGGAAUUUAAAUACUAAAGCCGAAUUAUCCUUCAGCUGUUAUACGCUCGCAGGAAAGAGAAGUUCAACUACGAAAGUGGCUUUACUAAAAUAUACCUGAAUCCACGAAAGUUCUGAUACAAACUGGGAUUAGAUACCCCACUAUGCCUUACCAUAAACAUUGAUAGAUUUAGUCACAUUUACUAUCCGCCUGGGUACUACAAGCACCAGCUUCAAACCCAAAGGACUUGGCGGUGCUUUAGACCCCUCUAGAGGAGCCUGUUCUAGAACCGAUAACCCCCGUUAAACCUCACCUUUCCUUGUACCCCCCGCCUAUAUAUCUCCGUCGCCAGCUUACCCUGUGAAGGCCUUAUAGUAAGUAUAACCGGUGAAUACCACCCCAAACGUCAGGUCGAGAUGUAGCGCAUGGGAAGGGAAGAAAUGGGCUACAUUACCUAGACAUAGCGUAACACGAAUGAUAACUUGAAACACUUAUCUGAAGGAGGAUUUAGUAGUAAGUAGAAAAUAGAGUGUUCUACUGAAACCGGCUCUGAAGCGCGCACACACCGCCCGUCACUCUCCCCGAGCUAAACUGUCAAUAUAAUUAAACUACUAAUAUUGCACGAGGGGAGGCAAGUCGUAACAUGGUAAGUGUACCGGAAGGUGCACUUGGCUUAACAC